ACCGCCCCUUUUAAGGCAUAUCACAGUCCUCUGGUAGCAUUGCCUAUAAUAGAAAUACCUUUUGAGAGGAUUGCAAUGGACUUGGUGGGUCCUCUGGUAAAGUCUGCAAGGGGGCAUCAAUAUAUAUUGGUGAUUCUGGAUUAUGCUACCAAGUACCCAGAAUCAAUACCCCUACGUAACACGUCUGCAAAGACAAUAGCAAGAGAACUCAUGCUCAUGUUUAG
Molecule: non-coding RNA, 224 nt
Organism: Pelobates cultripes (western spadefoot toad)
Lineage: Eukaryota; Metazoa; Chordata; Amphibia; Anura; Pelobatidae
Source: the annotation of a GenBank genome assembly